This 455-nucleotide ribosomal RNA is filed under the name uncultured Filobacillus sp. RNAcentral's name for it is "bacterial SSU rRNA". It matches the Rfam family "Bacterial small subunit ribosomal RNA", at positions 927 to 1369 of the family's 1533-position model. Lineage: Bacteria; Bacillati; Bacillota; Bacilli; Caryophanales; Bacillaceae. The record is from RNAcentral.
GCACAAGCGGUGGAGCAUGUGGUUUAAUUCGAAGCAACGCGAAGAACCUUACCAGGUCUUGACAUCUUCGGACCACCCUAGAGAUAGGGUCUUCCCUUCGGGGACCGAAUGACAGGUGGUGCAUGGUUGUCGUCAGCUCGUGUCGUGAGAUGUUGGGUUAAGUCCCGCAACGAGCGCAACCCUUGUCCUUAGUUGCCAGCAUUAAGUUGGGCACUCUAAGGAGACUGCCGGUGACAAACCGGAGGAAGGUGGGGAUGACGUCAAAUCAUCAUGCCCCUUAUGACCUGGGCUACACACGUGCUACAAUGGAUGGUACAAAGGGCAGCAAAACCGCGAGGUCGAGCAAAUCCCAUAAAGCCAUUCUCAGUUCGGAUUGUAGGCUGCAACUCGCCUACAUGAAGCCGGAAUCGCUAGUAAUCGCGGAUCAGCAUGCCGCGGUGAAUUCACAUUUGCUC